Molecule: ribosomal RNA, 253 nt
Filed under: uncultured bacterium
Lineage: Bacteria
Description: partial 16S ribosomal RNA
Rfam family: Bacterial small subunit ribosomal RNA
Source: RNAcentral
GACGAACCGUGCAAACGUUAUUCGGAUUCACUGGGCUUAAAGGGCGCGUAGGCGGGCCAUCCAGUCAGGUGUGAAAUCUUUCGGCUCAACCGGAAAAGUGCCUUUGAUACUGAUGGUCUCGAGGGAGGUAGGGGCAUGCGGAACUUCCGGUGGAGCGGUGAAAUGCGUAGAUAUCGGAAGGAACGCCGGUGGCGAAAGCGGCGUGCUGGACCUCUUCUGACGCUGAGGCGCGAAAGCCAGGGGAGCAAACGGG